Molecule: ribosomal RNA, 894 nt
Filed under: uncultured organism
Description: bacterial SSU rRNA
Rfam family: Bacterial small subunit ribosomal RNA
Source: RNAcentral
CAAGCGUUGUCCGGACUCACUGGGCGUAGAGGGUGCGCAGGCGGUGCCGUGCGUCGGCGCUGAAAGCGCACGGCUUAACCGGGCGAGGUGCGGCGAUACGACGGCACUGGAGGCAGGUAGAGGUUGGCGGAAUUCCGGGUGUAGUGGUGAAAUGCGUAGAGAUCCGGAUGAACGUCGGUGGCGUAAGCGUCCAACUGGGCCUGACCUGACGCUGAGGCAACGAAAGCGUGGGGAGCGAACCGGAUUAGAUACCCGGGUAGUCCACGCCGUAAACGAUGUCGGCUCGGUGUGUGAUGCUAUUACGGGUGUCGCGUGCCCAAGCUCACGCGGUAAGCCGACCGCCUGGGGACUACGGCCGCAAGGCUAAAACUCAAAGGAAUUGACGGGGGCCCGCACAAACAGCGGAGCGUGUGGUUUAAUUCGACGCAACGCGAAGAACCUUACCCAGAUUUGACAUGCGACUGCAAGCGCACGGAAACGUGUGACCUUCGAGGGUGUCGCACAGGUGCUGCAUGGCUGUCGUCAGCUCGUGUCGUGAGAUGUUGGGUUAAGUCCCGCAACGAGCGCAACCCUCGCCGUCAGUUAUCAGUGUCUGGCGGGACUGCCGGCUGUAUGGUCGGAGGAAGGCGGGGAUGACGUCAAGUCCGCAUGGCCCGGACGUCUGGGGCGACACACACGCUACAAUGACCAGCACAGCACGCUGCAAACCCGCAAGGGGGAGCUAAUCGCCAAAGCUGGUCUCAGUGCAGAUCGGGGGCUGCAACUCGCCCCCGUGAAGGCGGAGUUGCUAGUAACCGCGUAUCAGCCAUGGCGCGGUGAAUACGUACCCGGGCCUUGUACACACCGCCCGUCACGUCAUGGGAGUUGGCAAUGCCUGAAGUCCGUGGCUCAACC